This 316-nucleotide long non-coding RNA is filed under the name Elaeis guineensis (African oil palm). RNAcentral's name for it is "long non-coding RNA (EGUI_LNC022740)". Lineage: Eukaryota; Viridiplantae; Streptophyta; Magnoliopsida; Arecales; Arecaceae. The record is from RNAcentral.
AACUGCAUGAAUAAUAGUUAUGACUUCUUUUUCUUAAUGGGAUUGCUAAAAUAGAGUUUUUUUUCUUUUUGUGUAGCAGGAAGUAAUAAUAUUAGUAUUUUCAGAACCGUUCCGAACUGGAUGGUUUGAAACAUUCCGAAUCGGAUUGAUGGAGAAUCGAAAUAGUUUCGGCAUGAAAAAUGAUACGCAUUGGUGCUCGAGAAGAAAGAGAGGAAAACAUAGGGGGUGAGAAAGAGAGAGGAGAGAGAGGGAGGCAGGAGCCGUCAGAGGGCUUCCAAGCCCGUUAUUGCCCGAUAGGACAUGACAGAGAGCAAGA